RNAcentral lists this ribosomal RNA (450 nucleotides) under uncultured bacterium. RNAcentral describes it as "partial 16S ribosomal RNA". It matches the Rfam family "Bacterial small subunit ribosomal RNA", at positions 338 to 795 of the family's 1533-position model. The record is from RNAcentral.
CCUACGGGUGGCUGCAGUAAGGAAUAUUGGUCAAUGGACGCAAGUCUGAACCAGCCAUGCCGCGUGGAGGAUGAAGGUCCUCUGGAUUGUAAACUUCUUUUAUUUGGGAAGAAACUCCCGAUUUCCAUCGGGAUUGACGGUACCAGAUGAAUAAGCACCGGCUAACUCCGUGCCAGCAGCCGCGGUAAUACGGCGGGUGCCGGAGUUAUUCGGAUUCAAGGGUGCGUAGGUGGGCAUGUAUGGCAGGGGUGAAAUCUCCGGGCUUAACCCGGAAACUGCCAUUGAUACUAUUUGUCUUGAAUACUCUGGAGGUGAGCGGAAUAUGUCAUGUAGCGGUGAAAUGCUUAGAUAUGACAUAGAACACCCAUUGCGAAGGCAGCUCACUACGGAAAUAUUGACGCUGAGGCACGAAAGCGUGGGGAUCAAACAGGAUUAGAUACCCCUGUAGUC